AGAGUUUGAUCCUGGCUCGGGAUGAACGCUAGCUACAGGCUUAACACAUGCAAGUCGAGGGGAAACGACAUCGGAAGCUUGCUUUUGAUGGGCGUCGACCGGCGCACGGGUGAGUAACGCGUAUCCAACCUGCCCACCACUUGGGGAUAACCUUGCGAAAGUAAGACUAAUACCCAAUGACGUCUCUAGAAGACAUCUGAAAGAGAUUAAAGAUUUAUCGGUGAUGGAUGGGGAUGCGUCUGAUUAGCUUGUUGGCGGGGUAACGGCCACCAAGGCGACGAUCAGUAGGGGUUCUGAGAGGAAGGUCCCCANAUUGGAACUGAGACACGGUCCAAACUCCAACGGGAGGCA
This 351-nucleotide ribosomal RNA is filed under the name uncultured bacterium. RNAcentral's name for it is "bacterial SSU rRNA". It matches the Rfam family "Bacterial small subunit ribosomal RNA", at positions 8 to 350 of the family's 1533-position model. The record is from RNAcentral.